This 253-nucleotide ribosomal RNA is filed under the name uncultured bacterium. RNAcentral describes it as "partial 16S ribosomal RNA". It matches the Rfam family "Bacterial small subunit ribosomal RNA", at positions 524 to 776 of the family's 1533-position model. The record is from RNAcentral.
UACGUAGGUGGCAAGCGUUGUCCGGAUUUACUGGGUGUAAAGGGCGUGCAGCCGGGAGUGCAAGUCAGAUGUGAAAUCCCGCGGCUCAACCGCAGAACUGCAUUUGAAACUGUGCUUCUUGAGUGCUGGAGAGGCAGACGGAAUUCCUAGUGUAGCGGUGAAAUGCGUAGAUAUUAGGAGGAACACCAGUGGCGAAGGCGGUCUGCUGGACAGUAACUGACGGUGAGGCGCGAAAGCGUGGGGAGCAAACAGG